RNAcentral lists this ribosomal RNA (1338 nucleotides) under Salmonella enterica. RNAcentral's name for it is "partial 23S ribosomal RNA". It matches the Rfam family "Bacterial large subunit ribosomal RNA", at positions 1486 to 2802 of the family's 2925-position model. Lineage: Bacteria; Pseudomonadati; Pseudomonadota; Gammaproteobacteria; Enterobacterales; Enterobacteriaceae. The record is from RNAcentral.
GUUGGCCGGGCGACGGUUGUCCCGGUUUAAGCGUGUAGGUGUGUGUUCCAGGUAAAUCCGGUUCACUUUAACACUGAGGCGUGACGACGAGGCACUACGGUGCUGAAGCAACAAAUGCCCUGCUUCCAGGAAAAGCCUCUAAGCAUCAGGUAACAUCAAAUCGUACCCCAAACCGACACAGGUGGUCAGGUAGAGAAUACCAAGGCGCUUGAGAGAACUCGGGUGAAGGAACUAGGCAAAAUGGUGCCGUAACUUCGGGAGAAGGCACGCUGACACGUAGGUGAAGUGAUUUACUCAUGGAGCUGAAGUCAGUCGAAGAUACCAGCUGGCUGCAACUGUUUAUUAAAAACACAGCACUGUGCAAACACGAAAGUGGACGUAUACGGUGUGACGCCUGCCCGGUGCCGGAAGGUUAAUUGAUGGGGUCAGCGCAAGCGAAGCUCCUGAUCGAAGCCCCGGUAAACGGCGGCCGUAACUAUAACGGUCCUAAGGUAGCGAAAUUCCUUGUCGGGUAAGUUCCGACCUGCACGAAUGGCGUAAUGAUGGCCAGGCUGUCUCCACCCGAGACUCAGUGAAAUUGAACUCGCUGUGAAGAUGCAGUGUACCCGCGGCAAGACGGAAAGACCCCGUGAACCUUUACUAUAGCUUGACACUGAACAUUGAGCCUUGAUGUGUAGGAUAGGUGGGAGGCUUUGAAGUGUGGACGCCAGUCUGCAUGGAGCCGACCUUGAAAUACCACCCUUUAAUGUUUGAUGUUCUAACGUGGACCCGUAAUCCGGGUUGCGGACAGUGUCUGGUGGGUAGUUUGACUGGGGCGGUCUCCUCCUAAAGAGUAACGGAGGAGCACGAAGGUUGGCUAAUCCUGGUCGGACAUCAGGAGGUUAGUGCAAUGGCAUAAGCCAGCUUGACUGCGAGCGUGACGGCGCGAGCAGGUGCGAAAGCAGGUCAUAGUGAUCCGGUGGUUCUGAAUGGAAGGGCCAUCGCUCAACGGAUAAAAGGUACUCCGGGGAUAACAGGCUGAUACCGCCCAAGAGUUCAUAUCGACGGCGGUGUUUGGCACCUCGAUGUCGGCUCAUCACAUCCUGGGGCUGAAGUAGGUCCCAAGGGUAUGGCUGUUCGCCAUUUAAAGUGGUACGCGAGCUGGGUUUAGAACGUCGUGAGACAGUUCGGUCCCUAUCUGCCGUGGGCGCUGGAGAACUGAGGGGGGCUGCUCCUAGUACGAGAGGACCGGAGUGGACGCAUCACUGGUGUUCGGGUUGUCAUGCCAAUGGCACUGCCCGGUAGCUAAAUGCGGAAGAGAUAAGUGCUGAAAGCAUCUAAGCACGAAACUUGCCCCGA